RNAcentral lists this ribosomal RNA (668 nucleotides) under Ocyptamus sp. XM-2011. RNAcentral describes it as "SSU rRNA". It matches the Rfam family "Eukaryotic small subunit ribosomal RNA", at positions 405 to 1002 of the family's 1831-position model. Lineage: Eukaryota; Metazoa; Arthropoda; Insecta; Diptera; Syrphidae. The record is from RNAcentral.
GGCUACCACAUCUAAGGAAGGCAGCAGGCGCGUAAAUUACCCACUCCCAGUUCGGGGAGGUAGUGACGAAAAAUAACAAUACAGGACUCAUAUCCGAGGCCCUGUAAUUGGAAUGAGUACACUUUAAAUCCUUUAACAAGGACCAAUUGGAGGGCAAGUCUGGUGCCAGCAGCCGCGGUAAUUCCAGCUCCAAUAGCGUAUAUUAAAGUUGUUGCGGUUAAAACGUUCGUAGUUGAACUUGUGCUUCAUACGGGUAGUACAACUACAAUUGUGGAUUGUACAUUACUUUAUGUAUGCAAGCGUAUUAUCGGUGGAGUUCUAAUAUUUUAUUGAUACUUGUAUUAAUAUUAUAUACCUCCUAUACAAAACCUGCCUCAGUGCUCUUCAUCGAGUGCUGUUGUGGGCCGAUACAGUUACUUUGAACAAAUUAGAGUGCUUAAAGCAGGCUCCAAAUGCCUGAAUAUUUUGUGCAUGGAAUAAUGAAAUAAGACUUCUGAUCUACUUUCAUUGGUUUUUAGAUCAAGAGGUAAUGAUUAAUAGAAGCAGUUUGGGGGCAUUAGUAUUACGACGCGAGAGGUGAAAUUCUUGGACCGUCGUAAGACUAACUUAAGCGAAAGCAUUUGCCAAAGAUGUUUUCAUUAAUCAAGAACGAAAGUUAGAGGUUCGAC